AGAGUUUGAUUCUGGCUCAGGACGAACGCUGGCGGCAUGCUUAACACAUGCAAGUCGAACGGAGCACCCCUGAACGAGGUUUCGGCCGAAGUGACGGGAAUGCUUAGUGGCGGACGGGUGAGUAACGCGUGAGCAACCUGCCUUGAAGUGGGGGACAACAGUUGGAAACGACUGCUAAUACCGCAUAAUAUAUUUAGAUCGCAUGGUUUAGAUAUCAAAGAUUUAUCGCUUCAAGAUGGGCUCGCGUCUGAUUAGGUAGUUGGCGGGGUAACGGCCCACCAAGCCGACGAUCAGUAGCCGGACUGAGAGGUUGAACGGCCACAUUGGGACUGAGAUACGGCCCAGACUCCUACGGGAGGCAGCAGUGGGGAAUAUUGGGCAAUGGGCGCAAGCCUGACCCAGCAAUGCCGCGUGAAGGAAGAAGGCUUUCGGGUUGUAAACUUCUUUGACAGGGGAAGAGCAGAAGACGGUACCCUGAAAACAAGCCACGGCUAACUACGUGCCAGCAGCCGCGGUAAUAC
This 521-nucleotide ribosomal RNA is filed under the name uncultured bacterium. RNAcentral describes it as "bacterial SSU rRNA". It matches the Rfam family "Bacterial small subunit ribosomal RNA", at positions 8 to 526 of the family's 1533-position model. The record is from RNAcentral.